Molecule: ribosomal RNA, 492 nt
Filed under: uncultured bacterium
Lineage: Bacteria
Description: partial 16S ribosomal RNA
Rfam family: Bacterial small subunit ribosomal RNA
Source: RNAcentral
AGUGAACGCUGGCGGUAGGCCUAACACAUGCGAGUCGAACGGCAGCACAGUAAGAGCUUGCUCUUACGGGUGGCGAGUGGCGGACGGGUGAGGAAUACAUCGGAAUCUACUUUUUCGUGGGGGAUAACGUAGGGAAACUUACGCUAAUACCGCAUACGACCUACGGGUGAAAGCAGGGGACCUUCGGACCUUGCGCGAUUGAAUGAGCCGAUGUCGGAUUAGCUAGUUGGCGGGGUAAAGGCCCACCAAGGCGACGAUCCGUAGCUGGUCUGAGAGGAUGAUCAGCCACACUGGAACUGAGACACGGUCCAGACUCCUACGGGAGGCAGCAGUGGGGAAUAUUGGACAAUGGGCGCAAGCCUGAUCCAGCCAUACCGCGUGGGUGAAGAAGGCCUUCGGGUUGUAAAGCCCUUUUGUUGGGAAAGAAAAGCAGCAGGUUAAUACCCCGCUGUUCUGACGGUACCCAAAGAAUAAGCACCGGCUAACUUCGUG